Molecule: long non-coding RNA, 231 nt
Organism: Nomascus leucogenys (northern white-cheeked gibbon)
Lineage: Eukaryota; Metazoa; Chordata; Mammalia; Primates; Hylobatidae
Exons: 3
Source: RefSeq, a predicted model, not a curated record
AUUUCACUCUUCGAAGUUUGUGAGAAAAUAUAACUGUGUGAUUGUAUAGACACGUUUCCUGAUAAUACAUCGACGUUCACGAACAGUAGAUUGCACUGCAGUUUGUAAACAUUUUAAGUUUCAUAAACUUCUCCUUCAUUUUCAAAGAUAGUACAAUACUGUCUACUAAAAUUCCUUUUUGUUUCAACUAAGUACUCUCACACAUAUUAGUUUAUAAUAAUGUUUCUUAUU